RNAcentral lists this ribosomal RNA (433 nucleotides) under uncultured bacterium. RNAcentral's name for it is "partial 16S ribosomal RNA". It matches the Rfam family "Bacterial small subunit ribosomal RNA", at positions 29 to 507 of the family's 1533-position model. The record is from RNAcentral.
AACGAACGCUGGCGGCAUGCCUAACACAUGCAAGUCGAACGAGACCUUCGGGUCUAGUGGCGCACGGGUGCGUAACGCGUGGGAACCUGCCUUUAGGUUCGGAAUAACUCAGAGAAAUUUGAGCUAAUACCGGAUGAUGUCUUCGGACCAAAGAUUUAUCGCCUUUAGAUGGGCCCGCGUUGGAUUAGCUAGUUGGUGGGGUAAAGGCCUACCAAGGCGACGAUCCAUAGCUGGUCUGAGAGGAUGAUCAGCCACACUGGGACUGAGACACGGCCCAGACUCCUACGGGAGGCAGCAGUGGGGAAUAUUGGACAAUGGGCGAAAGCCUGAUCCAGCAAUGCCGCGUGAGCGAUGAAGGCCCUAGGGUUGUAAAGCUCUUUUACCCGAGAUGAUAAUGACAGUAUCGGGAGAAUAAGCUCCGGCUAACUCCGUG